GUGUCCCUGGGUUGCUCUGGGAAGGUCCGGGAUCCUGCAGAGAGCUCCAGGGUGCUCCGGGAUGCUUUGGGAAGGUCCGGGAUCCUCCAGGGAACUC
This is a non-coding RNA of Turdus rufiventris (rufous-bellied thrush), 97 nucleotides long. NCBI's taxonomy places the organism in Eukaryota, Metazoa, Chordata, Aves, Passeriformes, Turdidae. The record is from the annotation of a GenBank genome assembly.